Molecule: ribosomal RNA, 253 nt
Filed under: uncultured bacterium
Lineage: Bacteria
Description: partial 16S ribosomal RNA
Rfam family: Bacterial small subunit ribosomal RNA
Source: RNAcentral
UACAGAGGUCUCAAGCGUUGUUCGGAUUCAUUGGGCGUAAAGGGUGCGUAGGCGGCCCGGUAAGUCCGCUGUGAAAGUCCAGGGCUCAACCCUGGGAUGCCGGUGGAUACUGUCGGGCUCGAGUCCGGAAGAGGAGUGUGGAAUUCCUGGUGUAGCGGUGAAAUGCGCAGAUAUCAGGAGGAACACCAAUGGCGAAGGCAGCACUCUGGGACGUGACUGACGCUGAGACGCGAAAGCGUGGGGAGCAAACAGG